Molecule: non-coding RNA, 367 nt
Organism: Osmia lignaria (orchard mason bee)
Lineage: Eukaryota; Metazoa; Arthropoda; Insecta; Hymenoptera; Megachilidae
Source: RefSeq, a predicted model, not a curated record
GAAGAAUAUCAAAAUGUCAAAAUGUCCAAGGAAUGUCCAAGGAUAGAGGUGACAAGAAAUAAAAUAAAAUAAAUGAUGAACUUUGUACCAUCGUGAGUCAAAAUAAACUAAAUCUUAACAGUUACCUUGAUUCAAUUUAAUUCAGAAUGAAUGAACAAUGACAGCAUGAAAUGAACGACUGAACAAUGAAAUAAUUAAUUAAAGAUAUUAAGAAGAAUGAGGUAAAUAAUAAAUAAUAAGCGUAAAGUAAAAGUGAAGGCCGUAACCAACCUAAUGUAAAUAAUGUAAUGUAAUGCACUGUAAUAUAAGUAAUGCAAUAUAAUGCAAAACAGAAUGCAAUAAUAAACUGAAUACAAAAUACAAAAUA